UUUGUAAUUUCUUCUUUGGAUGAAUGAUGAAGGAGAUAUGAUGAGCGAAAGCAUUAAAGAAACUCAAGAGGAGUUUCCAUGGAUUGAAGUGGAGUUAGGAAUUUGUGAGAGUGAGAGGUGAGGCCAACUCACUAGGAAAGAGUCUAGGCUAAGUCUUGAAGGAGACUAACCUAGGGAGAACUUAAGAACGAGUAGAAUGGCCAAAAUUAGGCAGCAUUUCAUUACUAAUUCCAAGUUAAAGAAAUACAUGUAUAAGAGACUCCUAUUUAUAGGAGAAAGUCUCUCAAAAACUCUCAAAUGAGAGUGUGACAAGUGUCACCACCUUAUUGGUGCAAAUCCUCUCCAUUAAGGAGAAGACAUGUGGAGACUCAUGUCUUCCUUGCCUACAUUUCUAUUUGCACCCCUUUUUUACUAUUUUACACAUUACUUUGUUUUCUAUUUACAUCUUUCUCUACUUUGGCCCAAAAUACAAGGCCCAAAACUUCCUAACUACUCUAUACAAUUUUUACAAGGCUAAGAAGAAGAAAAAGACUUUACAAGCUCUUCAUUAAAGCUCGAUCUUCGUCUAUCUUCUUGGCCGAAAGUUUUGAGGCUGGACGGUUUCCAUCAUCCCCACCCUCUUGAAAAGGAUCUGUCCUCAGAUCUGAAUGAUGCUCAAUGACAACAGCCUCUGUUUAUUUGAUGUUUUCCUCCUGGGUCAAAUGUCAAUCUACAAUAAACAUCAAACAAACAUGAGAUCAAUUUCUUUUUUAAAAGAAAAUUAAAACAAAAGAAAACUAAACAAAAAUAAGGCCCUUUAUCUUUAAAUUUCUUUUUAAAGAAAAACAUAAGGUCCCUUUCAAAAAUAUUUUUAUUCACUUUGUGUUGUUUAUUGCCCAAGCUAGGCAACAACAUCACAAAGUUUGGUUUUUGAGAUUUUUGUAAAGAAGAAUGAGCAUUAUAUAAUUGAAAAGAAGAGUUCAAAGUAUUGCAAUCCCCCUUUAAGGAUUCUUUCUUAGCCAUGCUUUGAAGGAGUGUCAUAAAAGGCUCUUCUUCUUUGUGGGUUUCCUCUUCUUCCUUUUCAAUCAAACAUUCUUCUGUAUUUUUUGUGGAGGAAAUAUUUAUAUCUAUAUCUGGUUCAGCUCCAAACAUAGAUUUUUCUUCAAGCACAUCCUUACAAGGGUUUUCUAGAGAAGAUAAAAUGUUAUCGAUAAUUGAUUCAACUCCAGAAAAAGAGUUUUUUGUACUUUCCUUUUCUAUCAUCACUUUUUCUCUAUUUUCUUUCUCUUCUCUAUCUUUCCUUUCGUUCUCCUCUCUUUCCCUUUUCUCCUUCUCUUCUUUCUUUCUGUCAAGAGCUUGGAAUUUUUCUCUAAACUCCUUUUCUCUUCUAACAUAUUAUUUUUCUCUGUAUAUAAAAUUUCUUCCUUUUUCUACAAGCUCUUUCAUUUCUUCUCUAAGCUUUUUCUUUUUCACAUAUGAAGGUGGAACAAACUUUCUUCUCAUACACAUCUUCAAUUCAUCCCAAUUAAGUACUUCUGAUUUUCUGCCAUUAAUAACAUCAGUUUCCCUUUUUGUCCACCAAGACCUAGCAUAUUCUUGAAAACUUAGGGUAGCCAUGGAAAAUCUACUAAAUUCAUCCAAUUGAUGUUUUUCAAAGAUUUGAUCAACUUUUGUUUCCCAUUCUAAAUAUGCUUCAACAUUUUUAUUUCCAUCAAAGUAAGGAAUGUAUACUUCAGGCUCGGUAGAAUAAUAUAAACUUCUAUGCUCAAAACACAUCCCUUCCUUUUUUUGAUAAUGAGGGUUAUAAAUCUUUCUUCUACUAGGAUGAUAAGUAUACAUAGACAUAUUAAGCUUUGUAUUUAAAAGAUUUUUCAGAAGAAGGAAAGUGAGUUUAGCACACAAGGUAAAUUCCCAAGAAAGAGAGGUGGGUCACAAUGGACACUCUUAAGUACCAAGUCUUUCCUAGCUAAAACUUAUCCCAAUGCACUUCACAAAUCUCCUUGCAAUGAAAACUUCUUCAACACAAACAAAGAGUUUUCUAAAGAAAGAAACUAAAAGAAAGCUUUUAAAAACUAAGAAUUUAAAUUGCAAAAAUUUAAACUAGACGACUCCUAAUGGUGAGGCUUGUUGGCACUUGUGAACCUUCAAGACACACUCACCGUCUAAAGCGUGUAUCUAAUAAGAAAAUUAAAGAAAACUUGUAGGAGAUAGAAGAACACCAAAGGCUCUUCCAAGACACCUAAAGUAAAGAUAAUGGCCAAAUUACAAAACAAUUGAAAUCACGCAAAAUUUAAAAAAAAAAAAAAAUCUUCAAAGUUCUCUUCUCUUCUCUCACAAGUGUUUCUCUCCAAGCUUUUACUUGUUUGUCCUCCAAAGGUGAGUACCCCUUGCAAAGUCUUUUGCCUUCUCUUAGGAUGCUACCUAGAAGUUAGCUCAAUUCUCACAAAGAACAAAUUCAAGGUAUAUUUCACUUCAAGAGGUCAAUAAUAAAAGCAAUAAAUGCUCAAUUUGAAGAGUGAAACUCAAAGGAGAUUAGAGAUGACAAACACAAAGAUUAUCCAUAAAAUCAAGACAAGCAAGAAAUUAAAGGUUUUCAAGAAAGUAGGCACUCAAAAGAAAAUAGCUAAAGAUAGGCACUAGAAUGGAUUACAAAAAAUAAAAAAUAAAAAAAUAUCAUUUUUUUUCAAUGUGCAUAAGACCCAAACACCAAAUGAUGAUCCUAUAUGUUUUGGCCCAAAAUGCAAUUGGGCAGAAUUUGUUUCCACUUUUCUAAUCCCAAUCUCGUGGCCCCACAGAAAGUCCUCAAUCGCUGAAUUCUUUCAUCAAAAUCAUGCUUCAAUACUGCACCGUUUCUGCUUGUGUGCCAAGAUUCAAUUCUUCAAAAGCACUAUUCAGCAAACCAUGGACCCCACCAUGUGAAUGUCAAUUUCUUGCCAAAUUGAACAACUUCACGUUCUCGCAGCCACCUAUACUUUGCUCUAAUACCAAAUGAUGGAAAAACGUUCUUCAUCUAUUAGGGAUCUUUGUAAUUUCUUCUUUGGAUGAAUGAUGAUGGAGAUAUGAUGAGCGGAAGCAUUAAAGAAACUCAAGAGGAGUUUCCAUGGAUUGAAGUGGAGUUAGGAAUUUGUGAGAGUGAGAGGUGAGGCCAACUCACUAGGAAAGAGUCUAGGCUAAGUCUUGAAGGAGACUAACCUAAGGAGAACUUAAGAACAAGUAGAAUGGCCAAAAUUAGGCAGCAUUUCAUUACUAAUUCCAAGUUACUUCUUGCAAAUCCACACCAAAUUUUGUCAAUUGCCACCACCAGAAUUUGCUUUCUAAAUAAAUUGAAUUGUCGCUUGAACACUACACCAUUAUCCUCACAAAAGUAAUUAUUGGAACUAAUUCAACUCAUCACUCCACUGGUUCUGCACAUACUUCCCAAUUUUGACCCAAAGUGCAACUUCAAAGCAAAUUAAACACUAAUUGUGUUCCAGAAUCAACUAAAUUGUUGUUAAUUCAAUUCCAAUUCAGCACUGCAAUUAAACCA
Molecule: long non-coding RNA, 3505 nt
Filed under: Phaseolus vulgaris (common bean)
Lineage: Eukaryota; Viridiplantae; Streptophyta; Magnoliopsida; Fabales; Fabaceae
Description: long non-coding RNA (PVUL_LNC003620)
Source: RNAcentral